CUUUAUUAUAAUACGGAUUGUCGUGGGUUGUUUUCCAAGAAAGGCAACAACAUUUGAAAACGUUUAUAAAUUGCUUUGAAAUCUACAAUUUUGUUCAAUAAUGAACGUGGAAUAUUUCAAGACACCGAGUUUGAAUAAUAGGAAAAAAGUUGUGUGAUCUUAAAGCCAUGAGUACACCACCACUAUGCACCUUUGCAACAGGAAACACAGGCACAUGUUUAUUGUGGAUUUUCGAAGACAAGCAUUCAGUAAGAGUUUGUUAUUGUAUGAAGCAGAUAAACAAUUGGAUGUCCAGUCAGAUUUGUUGGAAGCUUGGAUAACUGAAGCUGUAAAGAUGGUUGAGCAAAGAAAUGCAUUGUGAGAAAUCAGGACUGAUUAGUUUGAACCCUGGAAACUGAAGCUUAGCAACAUCAGACUGAGAUAAAGCGUGGAAGUCAAAUUUUAACAUAUAGAAAUGAAGUAAUGAACUUUGAGAAAUAGACUAAUUUCUUUGAAUUAUGUAGUGUACAGUAUACUGGUACUUGAAGCUUAGUAAACUCUGAUGUAUGGAGAUGAAGCAGAUAAAUUGUGAAAAGUUUAAACCACAACAGACAUUUUUUGCGCAUCCAUAAAUGAAUGAUUAUGAAUUAAAGUACAGUUUGCCAAGUGAAGUUUGUGAUUUAGUAAGUAAAAUAGGUGUUGACCUUUAAAAAUGCUGAAGUUUUUGUCUGAUUCUGGACCUAGUUAAAUAUAGAAUGUUGGCCCAAUUCAGAACUUAAUUUAAAAGGCUGGUCCCAUUGUGAGUUAAAUUUCUGGACUAAUGGCUUAUAGAUAAAAUUCUGAAUUUAAGUUAAAAUGUUGAUCCAAUUCUGGUGGUAGGGUAGUGUAAAUUAUUGGUCCUAUCAUGGACUUAGUGUAAAAUUCUGGACUUAGAAAAUUCUUGAAUUAGUGUAAAUGGUAGAGUCCUAUUCUGGACUUCGUUAAAAUUCUGGACUUGUGUAAAUGGUUGAGUACUAUGCUUGACUUAGUUAAAUUAAUGUAAAUGGUUGAGCCCUAUGCUGUACUAAUAGUUAAAUUAAUGUA
Anneissia japonica is the source of this 1062-nucleotide long non-coding RNA. RefSeq lists it as uncharacterized. The record is from RefSeq and is a predicted model, not a curated record. The transcript is spliced from 3 exons. NCBI's taxonomy places the organism in Eukaryota, Metazoa, Echinodermata, Crinoidea, Comatulida, Comatulidae.